This 24-nucleotide non-coding RNA is filed under the name Arabidopsis thaliana (thale cress). Lineage: Eukaryota; Viridiplantae; Streptophyta; Magnoliopsida; Brassicales; Brassicaceae. The record is from RNAcentral.
CAUAAGAGGAUGCUCACCUCUUGC